UUCAAGAUUCUAAGAGCAAACGGUGGAUGCCUUGGCAUCUGGAGCCGAAGAAGGACGUAUAAAUCUGCGAUAAGCCUCGGGGAGCUGAUAAUAGAGCUUUGAUCCGAGGAUCUCCGAAUGGGGAAACCCCGCCAGGCCCUUUGGGUGACCUGGUGACUCCCGCCUGAAUAUAUAGGGCGGGUAGAGGGAACGUGGGGAAGUGAAACAUCUCAGUACCCACAGGAAGAGAAAGCAAAAGCGAUUCCGUUAGUAGUGGCGAGCGAAACCGGAAGAGGCCAAACCGAUCAUGUGUGAUAUCCGGUAGGAGUUGCAUGGUCGGGGUUGCGGGACUUUCCGUACAGUUCUACCGAGCUGUGAGGGCAAUGAGCGCGAUAUAGACGAAUGGUCUUGAAAGGCCAGUCAUAGAGGGUGCGAACCCCGUAGUCGAAAUGUCGUCGCCUGUCCGGAGAGUAUCCCAAGUAGCACGGGGCCCGAGAAAUCCCGUGUGAAUCUGUCAGGACCACCUGAUAAGCCUAAAUACUCCCAGAUGACCGAUAGCGGACAAGUACCGUGAGGGAAAGGUGAAAAGUACCCCGGGAGGGGAGUGAAAUAGUACCUGAAACCGUUUGCUUACAAACCGUUGGAGCACCCUUGUUGGUGUGACAGCGUGCCUUUUGAAGAAUGAGCCUGCGAGUUAGUGAUAUGUGGCGAGGUUAACCCGUGAGGGGCAGCCGUAGCGAAAGCGAGUCUUAAUAGGGCGUAUGAGUCGCAUGUUCUAGACCCGAAGCGAAGUGAUCUAUCCAUGGCCAGGUUGAAGCGACGGUAAGACGUCGUGGAGGACCGAACCCACUUCAGUUGAAAAUGGAGGGGAUGAGCUGUGGAUAGGGGUGAAAGGCCAAUCAAACUUCGUGAUAGCUGGUUCUCUCCGAAAUGCAUUUAGGUGCAGCGUUGCGUGUUUCUUGCCGGAGGUAGAGCUACUGGAUGGACGAUGGGCCCCAAAAGGUUACUGACUUCAGCCAAACUCCGAAUGCCGGUAAGUGAGAGCGCAGCAGUGAGACGGUGGGGGAUAAGCUUCAUCGUCGAGAGGGAAGCAACCCAGACCACCAUCUAAGGUCCCUAAGCGCGUGCUAAGUGGGAAAGGAUGUGGAGUUGCAUAGACAACCAGGAGGUUGGCUUAGAAGCAGCCACCCUUGAAAGAGUGCGUAAUAGCUCACUGGUCAAGUGAUUCCGCGCCGACAAUGUAACGGGGCUCAAGCACGCCACCGAAGUUGUGGCAUUUAUAUUAUAGGCAGGCCUUCGUGGUCCAGCCGUAUGGAUGGGUAGGAGAGCGUCGUGUGGCCAGCGAAGCGGCGGUGUGAACCAGCCGUGGAGGCCACACGAGUGAGAAUGCAGGCAUGAGUAGCGAAAGACGGGUGAGAAACCCGUCCUCCGAAAGACCAAGGGUUCCAGGGCCAGGCUAAUCCGCCCUGGGUAAGUCGGGACCUAAGGCGAGGCCGACAGGCGUAGUCGAUGGACAACGGGUUGAUAUUCCCGUACCGAUGAAGAACCGCCCAAGACAAUCCAGUAAUGCUAAGUGUCUGAAUCCUUGAUUCGAUCCCUUCGGGGUGACGGUCUUGGCCUAGCACACGACCCUACGCUGGGGCGUUUAGCGUAUUAACAGGUGUGACGCAGGAAGGUAGCUGAGCCGGGCGAUGGUUGUCCCGGUCUAAGGAUGUAGGGCAGAAGAUAGGCAAAUCCGUCUUCUAUGUAGCCUGAGACCCGAUGGGUAGUCCUCACGGACGAAAUCAGUGAUCCUAUGCUGCCGAGAAAAGCAUCGACGCGAGGUUCCAAUCGCCCGUACCCCAAACCGACUCAGGUGGUCAGGUAGAGAAUACUAAGGAGAUCGAGAGAAUCGUGGUUAAGGAACUCGGCAAAAUGCCCCCGUAACUUCGGGAGAAGGGGGGCCUGAGGCGUGUAGGGAUUUACUCCUGAAGCGUUUGAAGGCCGCAGAGACCAGUGGGAAGCGACUGUUUACUAAAAACACAGGUCCGUGCUAAGUCGCAAGACGAUGUAUACGGACUGACGCCUGCCCGGUGCUGGAAGGUUAAGAGGAACGGUUAGCACGCAAGUGCGAAGCUGAGAAUUUAAGCCCCAGUAAACGGCGGUGGUAACUAUAACCAUCCUAAGGUAGCGAAAUUCCUUGUCGGGUAAGUUCCGACCUGCACGAAUGGCGUAACGACUUCCCAGCUGUCUCAACCGCGAACUCGGCGAAAUUGCACUACGAGUAAAGAUGCUCGUUACGCGCAGCAGGACGGAAAGACCCCGUGACCUUUACUACAGCUUGGUAUUGGUGUUCGGUGUGGCUUGUGUAGGAUAGGUGGGAGACUGUGAAGCUCGGACGCUAGUUCGGGUGGAGUCAUUGUUGAAAUACCACUCUGGUCACUCUGGAUAUCUAACUUCGAACCGUAAUCCGGUUCAGGGACAGUGCCUGGUGGGUAGUUUAACUGGGGCGGUUGCCUCCUAAAGAGUAACGGAGGCGCCCAAAGGUUCCCUCAACCUGGUUGGUAAUCAGGUGUCGAGUGUAAGUGCACAAGGGAGCUUGACUGUGAGACUGACAAGUCGAGCAGGGACGAAAGUCGGGACUAGUGAUCCGGCAGUGGCUUGUGGAAGCGCUGUCGCUCAACGGAUAAAAGGUACCUCGGGGAUAACAGGCUGAUCUUGCCCAAGAGUCCAUAUCGACGGCAUGGUUUGGCACCUCGAUGUCGGCUCGUCGCAUCCUGGGGCUGGAGUAGGUCCCAAGGGUUGGGCUGUUCGCCCAUUAAAGCGGUACGCGAGCUGGGUUUAGAACGUCGUGAGACAGUUCGGUCCCUAUCCGCUGCGCGCGUAGGAAAUUUGAGAAGAUCUAUCCCUAGUACGAGAGGACCGGGAUGGACGAACCUCUGGUGUGUCAGUUGUUCCGCCAGGAGCACCGCUGAUUAGCUACGUUCGGAACGGAUAACCGCUGAAAGCAUCUAAGCGGGAAGCCGGCUUCGAGAUGAGAUUUCCAUCCCUUUUGGGGUGAAGGCUCCCGGCUAGACUACCGGGUUGAUAGGCAGGAUGUGGAAGCGGGGACUAAAGACUCGUGGAGCUGACCUGUACUAAUAAGCCGAUAUCUUGAAAACAC
RNAcentral lists this ribosomal RNA (3121 nucleotides) under Clavibacter michiganensis subsp. michiganensis. RNAcentral describes it as "23S ribosomal RNA". It matches the Rfam family "Bacterial large subunit ribosomal RNA". Lineage: Bacteria; Bacillati; Actinomycetota; Actinomycetes; Micrococcales; Microbacteriaceae. The record is from RNAcentral.